Molecule: transfer RNA, 71 nt
Filed under: Dipodomys ordii (Ord's kangaroo rat)
Lineage: Eukaryota; Metazoa; Chordata; Mammalia; Rodentia; Heteromyidae
Rfam family: tRNA
About the family: Transfer RNA (tRNA) molecules are approximately 80 nucleotides in length. Their secondary structure includes four short double-helical elements and three loops (D, anti-codon, and T loops).
Source: Rfam by way of RNAcentral
UGAGGAAUGGCUCAACAGUCGAGUGCUUGCCUGACAAGCAAGAGGCCUGGAGUUCAAACCCAAUAUCAUAA